AUUGAACGCUGGCGGCAGGCCUAACACAUGCAAGUCGAGCGGAGCGGCGGACGGGUGAGUAAUGCCUAUGAAUCUGCCUGGUAGUUGGUGAUAACGUCCGGAAACGGGCGCUAAUUCCGCCUACUCUCUGUUGACCCUAGGUCGGAUUAGCUAGAUGGUGGGGUAAAGGCUUACCAAGGCGACGCUCCGUAACUGGUGUGAGAGGAUGAUCAGUCACAAUGGAACUGAGACACGGUCCAGACUCCUACGGGAGGCAGCAGUGGGGAAUAUUGGACAAUGGGCGAAAGCCUGAUCCAGCCAUGCCGCGUGUGUGAAGAAGGUCUUCGGAUUGUAAAGCACUUUAAGUUGGGAGGCGUUACCAACAGAAGAAGCACCGGCUAACUUCGUGCCAGCAGCCGCGGUAAUAC
RNAcentral lists this ribosomal RNA (407 nucleotides) under uncultured bacterium. RNAcentral's name for it is "partial 16S ribosomal RNA". It matches the Rfam family "Bacterial small subunit ribosomal RNA", at positions 30 to 526 of the family's 1533-position model. The record is from RNAcentral.